GAUGAACGCUAGCGGCAGGCCUAAUACAUGCAAGUCGAACGCUCAGUAGCAAUACUGGGAGUGGCGCACGGGUGCGUAACGCGUACACAAUCUACCCUCUAAGCGGGGGACACCUCCUGGAAACGGGGAUUAAUACCGCAUAAUAUGCCGAAGUCGCAUGACUUUGGUAUUAAAGCAGCAAUGCACUUAGAGAUGAGUGUGCGUCCCAUUAGGUAGUUGGUGAGGUAACGGCUCACCAAGCCUAUGAUGGGUAGCCGGUCUGAGAGGAUGGUCGGCCACACGGGCACUGAGACUACGGGCCCGACUCCUACGGGAGGCAGCAGUAAGGAAUAUUGGUCAAUGGUGGAAACACU
This 353-nucleotide ribosomal RNA is filed under the name uncultured bacterium. RNAcentral's name for it is "bacterial SSU rRNA". It matches the Rfam family "Bacterial small subunit ribosomal RNA", at positions 28 to 384 of the family's 1533-position model. The record is from RNAcentral.